Oryctolagus cuniculus (rabbit) is the source of this 6105-nucleotide non-coding RNA. The record is from RefSeq and is a predicted model, not a curated record. Lineage: Eukaryota; Metazoa; Chordata; Mammalia; Lagomorpha; Leporidae.
AGUUUUGGGGUGAGGGCUCCCUCUUUCCCCCACCAAGGAGAGACUCAACUCUCUCUUUCACAGGCUGUGUCAAAGUCUCCCCAGGAGCCCUGGCCAAAUGCUCCUGGUAACUUCCUGUUCUUUUCCUUACAGAGAAACUCCCAAGCUGUACAGUGCCUGCUCUCCAUAAAUCCCAGCUGCCCCCUGGAUCCAGCCGUACCUGUCUCCAGACUAGACUGUGUGCUUCCUGAGGACCAUGACUCUCACUCCCCGCAGCGCACCCUGUGCACUGCAGCUGCUAAGGGGUGUUUGCUGGAUGGGGAGUGGAGCAGGAGUGAAAACAGGGGAGCUCAGAAAGACGCAGAGAAAAUGGCUCUCGGGGUGUACAUCUUAUAAGGUGAGCUUCCCCGAGGUGCUUGUACUGGGUGCGCCCUCUCGGAGGGUUCCAGCUUCCAGCACGAGUCCUUGCGAAUUUGAUGAGGUUUGGGACCCUGCAGAAGGGGGGGUGCAGGUGGUCUGGAGCCUGGGGAGAGGUGGAGGGGUGCUGGGAGGGUCAGCAGGCCCAAGAGGGCAGGUGGGGUGAGAGGGCGUAGAGGACAGCAGCUGGGGGAACAGCCGCCGGCCUGGGCAGGGCGACUUGGCGCUGUGCUUUAUUUGUUGGCUGGACACCCCUCGAAGGGUUCAGGGAGGCAAGCUGAAAACAGGAAGCCCCAGAUGAGCUGUGAUCCGAGAUUGCCCGUUUGCUGCCCCGAGGAGCUGCGAGGGGGCUCCGAGGGACACGCCCACCCCCUCUGCUCGCCUCCGUCCUCCUCCCUCCCUCCUCCGCCUUCCCUGCUCCCCGUCAGGGCCCCUGCUACCCUGCUGGCCUCCUUCCUUCCAUGUCCUCCGCUGCUGCUCCCUUCCCGAGCCCUCCUCACUGUCGCCUCCUCCUCUGCUCUCAGCUUCUCCUCCCCUGGUCCCCGUGCAGUUUCUCCCACUCCGCUCCUCCCCUCUCCUGCUUUCUGGAUCGCUCUACCUUCCUUGGGGGCUUUGUGUGUGCACGUGUGUGCUCUGUCCUUGGGGCGAAUGAGUGAAUGAAGAGUGGGAACAGAGGGGCAGAGACACUGGAAGGAGUGGUUGGGAGGCAGUGUCGUGUUCUGAAUGGGAUUCCGAUCCCCAGUUCCAGCCUGGAAUUCUCUGUUUGCUUGAACAGCUCCUAUCCGGGGAGCUCACAGAGGGGCAAGGCAGUGCAGAAAGCCGUUUCUGCAUUUCCUUGUGUAAUUACACAGCCACACCUGCUUGAGGCGGAAGUCAGAGGUACAACGUGAAGCUGCACAAGCCGGGAAGGCAGUGUGUGUCUCCCGUGCCUCCACCGUCUCUCCCCUCUGCAGCCGGCCAUGGACCAGUCCAGGGAAGGACACGGACGUCCGCCUCCAUCUCUUUUCCUGACGGCAAACCAUUCCAUUGUGUGCUGUAUAACCACGGAGAUAGCCGGUCCCUUACCGACGAGCGUGUGGACCGCGGUCAAUGCACCAUCCCCAUGGUACCACGUCCCACGGCCUCUUGUUGCCAAAUGUCUUCAUGGGCAAAGGGCCCGCCCAACAUCCGUCCACCUCUGCCUACCCAUCGCUCCUGGCCGCCCGUCCCCUUCUGCAGAAACUCUGUCCUCUCUAGGUCCUGCAAGGUUUCUGAUGGAAGCGGCAAACCCCCGAGAGUACAGAACGUGGCCCUCAUGUCUAGAGAGUUUCCUCUUACAAACCGUGCCCGCACGGAGGGCCUUCUGUGCACCCAUGUGUUGGCCUCUGUUUCUCGAUGAUGGAUUUUUAGAAGCAGACUUGCUGUUGCCCGACUUUUACUUGAGUAUCCUGUUGUACAUGUUGUGUCUUGGAAAUUUACCAUGCAUCCUUUCUAGAGCAAGUAGCGCAAAAUAGUCCUCUUGGGGCCCCAACAGGUGGCCCAGUGUCUGGCAUCUCUCAAAAGCUCAAUAAUUAUAGAAUGUGUAAGUUAACGAAUGAAUGAAUCCAAUCAUUGUCUAAUCCUCAGAUGGAUGGCCAUUUGGCCAAAUCAUUUGUGUAUCCUAUAAAUAUUUAAAUAGCAUGUAAUGUAUUCCAGAACCUCUAUAAUGAUCUGGAUAACCCUUACACUAACCUACAGACCUCAGAAGAGAUGCAAUUGGGAUGAUCAUACAGGACAUAGAUUUGCAGCUGGAUGAACAACUAAGUACAAAGAAGUGUUUAUUGAUCUUUCAGUUUCAGCAAAGAAUCUCAAUUAUUCAACUACAGAGAAUCAAGUUUUAUUGAACACAACACCCUCUCACUGCCCCUCUUGCUAUAAUAAUGAUGUUUAUUAUAGUUUUAUUUAAAAAUCAUCAUAAUACUGUAAGAUACUUGUUGUUAUCACAAAUAACUGACCAGAAAGCCAGUGCUGCGGCUCACUAGGCUAAUCCUCUGCCUGCGGCACUGGCACACUGGGUUCUAGUCCCGGUCAGGGCACCAGAUUCUGUCCCGGUUGCCCCUAUUCCAGGCCAGCUCUCUGCUGAGACCCGGGAGUGCAGUGGAGGAUGGCCCAAGUGCUUGGGCCCUGCACCCCAUGGGAGACCAGGAGAAGCACCUGGCUUCUGCCUUCGGAUCAGUGCGGUGCGCCGGCCGCAGCGUGCCGGCCAUUGGAGGGUGAACCAACGGCAAAAGGAAGACCUUUCUCUCUGUCUCUCUCUCUCUCACUGUCCACUCUGCCUGUCAAAAAUAAAUAAAUAAAACAAAUAACUGACCAGGAAACUGAAGCUCAGAGAAGUAAUCUAGGUAAGGCCAAGCAGCCUUAGGAAUUAGGACUAGCAAGGGUCCACCAAAGUCGUGAGUGACACAGAGCUGAGAGGCCUGGUUACCGGUCGAGGCUGGGAGAUGGAAGGGUGGGGCAGAGCAAGAGAGCUGGCUGUUGGCAGGUGAACGUAAAGCCCUCCCCCGGGACAUGUGGAUCCCUAGGGUCUCGUGUACAAAAUGACCUGGAGGUAUUCACCGAGGACAAGCACCACACGGGGCUCAUGAAAGCCAGCUUUGGUGUUCAGCUGCAUUAAUAGAAGCAAGAUAAUUAAUAGACUCAAGGCUCCACUUGGAUACGAAUCAUACAUCGUUUACUCCUUGUUGCAUCUCCAGGCUCCAGCACAGUGUCUGGAAGAAACCUGGGUGUAAUGGACACUCAGUAUGUAUCUAUAAAUUCCAUACUCGGUAUGUUCAUCCAAUCAGUAAACCAAUGCAUUGCAUGCUUGUUGCCCAAAUGCUCCUAGAGGUGCUUAAACUGUAGCUAAGUCCUUGAAGAGCUCAUUCUAGUGGAAUGGCAGGGAGAAGGACACAGACGAUGGUGUGGAGCGGUGGAGGAGGUGCUCUGGAGAGGGGAAGGUGGGAGGGGAAGGCUGAGUAGGAGGGGCAGAGUCACAGGUGGUUACUGGGGAAGACCGUUCUGAGAAUGGAUGAAGUGAGGGUGUGAGCCGUGCAGGCAAGGAAUGGCAAGUGCAAAGGCCCCGAGGCAGGAACACUGCGUGUAUUCUGGGUAGAGGUAGGGGACAGGCUUAUCUGAUCCUGGCUGGUGAAACUACCUAUAGAGCACCUUGAUGUUGACUAAUUCUGGCACCACACAGUUUAAGAGAUUGCCAAAUGGGGGCAUUUCAAGACAGUAAAGGGUCUGAAACCAGCUCAUAUUAGGCUUGGGUUAAAAAGAGUGUUUUACAUAUACCUGCCUAAUCAAUUAUUGGAACAUGGUAAAUGGUCCAUAAAUAUUUGUUCAACUGGGGCGGGGGUGAGGAGGAAAUUGAGUAGCAACAGUAUGUCUUGUGGAAAAUAUCCAAAAGAUUUUUUUAAAUUGCUAAGAAAUAUUUAGCAUAUUAUAUGAGUAAUAAUAAUGGUAUAGCUAUCUAAAAACUGUUAUGAUAGUAAUACUGUCAAUGUUAUUAGGAGCCAAAUUUUUAAGUAUAAGGCAAAAGAGAUGCAAUUUUAAAAUCCAUGAAAUUAAGGAGAAACUCUAUAAUCCGAGAUUGUAAUUCAAAAUGUCAGUCUGACUUUAUGCUGUAUUUUCCUCUUUAAUACAUGUAUUUUCUUCUGUGUUCACUGAAAAGGUCUAGAAAGAACAACCAACAACAUAGUAAUGAACAUAUUUAGCACUGAGACUGUAGUCUCUAGAAACCAUUAUCUUGGUGGUUUUAAUGAGGGCUCUUUGUGGGGGAUGGCAGAUUGUAGGUUUGGGGCAGGAAAUAUACAUGAUCAUCUUAGACCAUCUUAUCAUGCUAGCAAGAGUGGGUAUCAUGUCAGAAAAACACAUGUGAAUCAACUUGAAAGGACUCCAUUUAGUCAAAGGCGGGAUCAUUUGAGUAUUAGACAAAAUAAAUGACUUCAAUGGAUUGAAAUAUAUCAAAUUGUUCAUAAUUUUUAACAAGCCACUGGUUGCUAUUGGUGGAUGCUAAGACCCAGUCUCACUAUUCUAAAAUGGUCAAUAAAGAGAUGAAAAAGUGUCCUUUUAUGAUGAAUUCCACCCAAUAAAUGCAGGAGUACGAGAGUGAGAACAUUCUCCUUCCGCAGCCCCCAAGGCAGUGAUGGAUCGGAGAACUAGUGCUCAAGGUCACGAGGACCUGGGAAUGGGGGUUGGGAAAUCACGAUGCGUGGAUCAUGCAGGCAACACGUGCAUUCACAGAUCAGUCCUGACAUCCCCAACGAGAGACCACCAGACCCCCUGUGCCUCCAGACUCACAAGGGAAAUGCACACCUCAACCCAGGAAGUGUUCUUGCCAAAACCCAGGACCGGAGUCAGAUCCGAUCUCCUUGUCUAACCCCUGGGUGAUGGGAAAGGCAGGCAAAAGAGGCGCAACCUGUAGCGGCCAUCAGUCAAGUUCAGAGUGAAGCAAGUUCUACUGAAAAGUGGUGUCCUGCUCAACAGAGAGAUGACAGGAAAACAAGAAACAGAUAAAAAGGAACUGCUAUAGAUCAAAAGAGAUUUAGGUCCUAGGAUCGUGUGAAUAGGAAGGCUGAGUUUGGGUAUGAUGAGAACAAAUCAAUUAACAGGGGCUUUGAACACUGAAUCGAUGGUGGGUGAUAUUAAAGAAUUAGGAAGAUUUUAAGUGUUAUAAUGGUGUUUGGCUCUGUUAAAGAAAAAAGCAAGCUUUUAUGUGUUAGAAAUGCACUCUGAAACAUUCAUGGGAGAAAUGAUAUCUGGGACUUGCUUUAAAAUAAUCUGUUAAGUUAGUUAAGGAGUAGCUGCCGAGGACUGAGGAGAAGAGGGAAGGAGCAGGGGCCGUUAAUGGCCGGGGCGUGACGGAAGCAUCCGGGUUCCGCCUUGUGAACAAACCCCACUGAAUUGUAUUCUUUAGAAGUGUGCAUUGUUUGAGAGUCGGAGCUGACUUUUCAGAAAUGAGAAAAGUAUCCAGCAAUGUGUGAGAGCAAGUGUGGAGGUGUAUGCAAAACAAAAUUGGACAUCAGUGGACAAUGGUGGAUUUUGAGUGAUUGGUCCAUGGAGUUCCAGUUUACCAUGCUCUCUUCUUUUGCAAGUAUUUGAACAUUUCCAUAAUAAAAGGUUAAAACCAAGCAGAAAGGCGGAAGCCAUAAGGGUGCGGGCAGCAUUGUACUGGGAAUGAGAUGAAAGUGCACACGGUAACGUGUGGCUGUGGCUGGGACUCCUUUUUUGGCGUGACUACCUAAGACAAGGAAAUUGUCGUUAACACCAUUCCAUCUCCCUGGGGAGGAAAAGGAGCCAUAAGUCUAAGAGAUUUACAACCAUUCGUACAAUAAAACAGUCUAACAUUGUCCUGCGCCACUCCUGGAGAGGACACUGUGACAUGUGACAGACGGCAGCUCCCGCAGUGCUCUCCGAUGAUCGGGUGUUUCUUAGAAUAUCCCCAGGUGCAGGCUCAGGUGCUGGUCUGCUCUGGCUACCGUGAUGAGAUACCACAGACCGCGGGGCUUCGACAACAGGCACUUACUUAUUUCUGACGUCUUGAGGCUGGGCAGUCUGAGAGCAGGGUUCUGUUGGGGGCCCCUUCCUGGCUUGCAGAGGGCUGUGUCUUACUGAUGUCCUCACGCGGUGGGGACAGUGUAUCUGGCAUCUCUGCCCGCAAGGCCACUGAUCCCAUCCUAAGGGGCCCACUCCUGUGACCUCAUCUGUCCUAAU